Molecule: ribosomal RNA, 223 nt
Filed under: uncultured bacterium
Lineage: Bacteria
Description: partial 16S ribosomal RNA
Rfam family: Bacterial small subunit ribosomal RNA
Source: RNAcentral
GACAGAGGGUGCAAACGUUGUUCGGAAUUACUGGGCGUAAAGCGAGUGUAGGCGGUCUCAUAAGUCGGGUGUGAAAGCCCUGGGCUCAACCCAGGAAGUGCACUCGAUACUGCGAGGCUAGAGUAUCGGAGAGGUUGGUGGAAUUCUCGGUGUAGAGGUGAAAUUCGUAGAUAUCGAGAGGAACACCGGUGGCGAAGGCGGCCAACUGGACGAAUACUGACGC